AGUAAUACAUCGGAACGUGUCUUCUAGUGGGGGAUAACUGCCCGAAAGGGCAGCUGAUACCGCAUGAGACCUGAGGGUGAAAGCGGGGGAUCGCAAGACCUCGCGCUGGAAGAGCGGCCGAUGUCCGAUUAGCUAGUUGGUGAGGUAAAGGCUCACCAAGGCGACGAUCGGUAGCUGGUCUGAGAGGACGACCAGCCACACUGGGACUGAGACACGGCCCAG
RNAcentral lists this ribosomal RNA (222 nucleotides) under uncultured bacterium. RNAcentral's name for it is "partial 16S ribosomal RNA". It matches the Rfam family "Bacterial small subunit ribosomal RNA", at positions 109 to 334 of the family's 1533-position model. The record is from RNAcentral.